UAUAAACUUCAUAAUAUUGUUGUUAUUGUUAAUUCUAGACCAAGCUAUGCGAAUUGGGGAGGAGAACAAAAACGAUUUCCCAUUUUGCAGAGAUGGUGUGAAAAGAAAACUCUUUUGGCCAUUUCCACAGCAUUUUGAAAAAUAGUUGGCCAAUACUUUUGUUCGCAGAUGUAUAACGUCUUACAACAAAAAUAGAAACAGCAUAGCAGUUUACCAUCAUUCGCAAGUUUCUAAGGCUUUUGGCUGAGAAAAUUUUCAAAAAAUAUUUUGAGAAACAAUACCAUAUACAUUUUAUGAUUCUUCAAAAAAUUGCCGCUAUUUAAAAGAAAACACUUCGCAUUCAUA
Long non-coding RNA from Stomoxys calcitrans (stable fly), 345 nucleotides. RefSeq lists it as uncharacterized. The transcript is spliced from 3 exons. The record is from RefSeq and is a predicted model, not a curated record. Lineage: Eukaryota; Metazoa; Arthropoda; Insecta; Diptera; Muscidae.